RNAcentral lists this ribosomal RNA (563 nucleotides) under uncultured bacterium. RNAcentral describes it as "partial 16S ribosomal RNA". It matches the Rfam family "Bacterial small subunit ribosomal RNA", at positions 355 to 912 of the family's 1533-position model. The record is from RNAcentral.
UGGGGAAUUUUGGACAAUGGGCGAAAGCCUGAUCCAGCAAUGCCGCGUGUGUGAAGAAGGCCUUCGGGUUGUAAAGCACUUUUGUCCGGAAAGAAAUCCUUGGCUCUAAUACAGUCGGGGGAUGACGGUACCGGAAGAAUAAGCACCGGCUAACUACGUGCCAGCAGCCGCGGUAAUACGUAGGGUGCAAGCGUUAAUCGGAAUUACUGGGCGUAAAGCGUGCGCAGGCGGUUUGCUAAGACCGAUGUGAAAUCCCCGGGCUCAACCUGGGAACUGCAUUGGUGACUGGCAGGCUAGAGUAUGGCAGAGGGGGGUAGAAUUCCACGUGUAGCAGUGAAAUGCGUAGAGAUGUGGAGGAAUACCGAUGGCGAAGGCAGCCCCCUGGGCCAAUACUGACGCUCAUGCACGAAAGCGUGGGGAGCAAACAGGAUUAGAUACCCUGGUAGUCCACGCCCUAAACGAUGUCAACUAGUUGUUGGGGAUUCAUUCCUUAGUAACGUAGCUGACGCGUGAAGUUGACCGCCUGGGGAGUACGGUCGCAAGAUUAAAACUCAAAGGAAUUG